Molecule: long non-coding RNA, 1094 nt
Filed under: Salmo salar (Atlantic salmon)
Lineage: Eukaryota; Metazoa; Chordata; Actinopteri; Salmoniformes; Salmonidae
Description: lncRNA (ENSSSAG00000090472.1)
Source: RNAcentral
CUGCAGGGUACUGGGUAGGGUAGGAGGACAGGCCACAAGUGAUGCCUGGUAUUUCUUCCACUGCCCCCAUGCUUAAGGCUGCAUUUCUGUCCGUGGUCCGUCCGGUAGUCUCCUACAUUACAGACAGCUGCUCCUGCUCAUCAGCCUUAGGUCUGUGCCCUCAUCUACUCCAUCCGUCCUCGAAGUCUGCAUCACCAGUCCCUCUACCCUGAUCUCUUCCAAGGAAUGAAAAAAGGGAAAGAUAGGGAAAUAGUAAUUAUAGUUGACGAAAACCUUUACGUUUUCUUAAAGUUGAAAGAGUUUGUUUUAUUCCGCUGAUCAUUGACAGAUAGUGGAUUUGAUCCCUCAACACAUCAAGCCAACUGGUGAGAGACUCAAUUUUCUGCCCCAGUGGAGAGAGAUAAACAGCUUUCUGUCUGGACUCUAGAAGAGAGACUCGACAUUGGGGGACAAACCCAGUCAUCUUUAGCCAGGACACUGAAAGAGACUAAGUUUGCUGCUUUACAUUGAGAGACACAACCUUCUGUGUCAAGACAAGACAAGGCGAGCAGUUUUCUGUCUAAACAGAGACACACAGCCUAGAAAGAGAGACCAAGACCUCUGGAUUUCACCCUCUCAGGGACAGCUUUUUGCCUUAAUACAGAAACGGAGAAAAAGGCACCAGCCUGGUCUAAGCAGCGGCAUCUCAGAACAGAAAGAACCACGCUGUCCUCUCCUAUCAGGUGUCCCAGAGUGUUUUCAAGGUAUUUUCCCCUUCCCUCUCCAUUCAUCAGCUGCCCUCAGUGUCACCAGCACAGAAAUAUAAUUACCAUAAGGGACAUUCCCAUUUAAGUCAAUGUUCUGUGUAGCCAUGAGCGUGAAAUUGCCGUGGUCUGAGGGGCUUUGUCCAUUCUAGUUUUCCUAUUUCUAUGGACUCCAGACAAGCACCAAGCACCGUAAAGCGAGCAUCAUUGUUCUCCUUUCCGAGGUAAACAUCAGAAGGAGCAGGGCGGAAGGUCAGAGGGAGCACCUUCUUCCUCCCUAAAGUACCCCCAGCUGCCAAGAUCCCAGUCAGGAUGGCGACCAAGACCCCUCAGACUGAAACGUAAAGGGAG